Molecule: non-coding RNA, 216 nt
Organism: Bacillus thuringiensis serovar israelensis ATCC 35646
Lineage: Bacteria; Bacillati; Bacillota; Bacilli; Caryophanales; Bacillaceae
Source: Rfam
AAAUAGAAUUAUGAAAGGAAUGAUGGAUGAAUAAUGAUUAACUAAUUUAUAUUUUAAGUUGAAUUUUAUAACUUCAAACUACAAAAUAUAGGGUUAGUCUAUCCAUUUUUAAAAUUCAGUUCAUACUUUAUUUGUCAUGAUUCAAAUGAUUAAUAAGUACUUAUUAAGUAUAGACGAAAGACUAAUCCUUCCGAUUACAAAUUGGGGGAUUUUUUU